Molecule: long non-coding RNA, 1417 nt
Filed under: Marmota monax (woodchuck)
Lineage: Eukaryota; Metazoa; Chordata; Mammalia; Rodentia; Sciuridae
Source: RNAcentral
GUUUUCUUUUUCCCCCUUUGCUCACGAUAGGUUGAAGUCCAGGACAGACACAACACGGAGCCCUUAGGUGGCCGCCACGGAUGCUUGCUCUCCGCGUGGACUUCCUCCCUGCCUUCCCUGCCUGCUCACUAUAUCAUCCUGUAAGGAGCCAUUGCUCUCCACAGUUAACAUUUCCACCUCUUUAGGGACAAGGGGUGAAUUUGUCUGGGGCAGAAAACCCACCCAAAGAGUCCCCAGUUGACAAUACACCCUUACUCCAAGAAUGCCCCAAUCCAAGUGACCCCAGUUUCCCUAAUGGGUAAAAUGAUCCCAGAUGUGCCUGGGCCCAGACGCCCUCGGCUCUUGUUUCAGGCAGGAAAUUGUUUUUGGAGAGGCAUGGCAAGCUGGAAAGUCACUCACUGGCUUUUGACAUGACUCCUCUUGGAGAGUAAGUGGAUGCCAGGCAGGCUCUUUGCAAAUGUAAACAUGUGUCCAUCUUGUAGUAGAUGUGCAAGGCCGGUGUGGCCAGGGCAUGUCAACCUCUGAAGGCUGCAGGCUGAAUUAGGAGGCGAGGAGUUGGGGUGAGCCUGGGCCAGAGGUACACAGUAGUUUGAAGCCUGUAGGACUGAGACAGAAAUUUUUAGCCGUGCUUGGUACCCAUCAAAGUAUGUAUCAAGAAAGAAAGAAAGGAAGGAAGGAAGAAAAAAAGGAACUCUGAUGUUUGUGAGAAGAAAAGGAGAAAUUGAUGUCUGAUGGUUUUGAACUCUGGGCUCCACAGAGCUCAUUCUUGGCCCAUAGGCUGGACGUCAUGUCCCUUUUAGACACUAGGCCCAUAGCGGCAGAGUUCUCCAGCUUGGUUUGCAAGAAGCUGGCUGUGGAGUCAGCCCCAGCUCCAGGUUAUUAGGAGGAGUAUUUGCUUUCAUGCAUAAAUGUGGAUCUUUGGAGAGUGGUUUCAAAAUAAGCCAUGAACACAAACUGCAAAUUAUGUAAAUUCCUAUUUAUCUAUAUAAUUGGCAACAACUGGGAAUUGUAACGCCUGGUGGUUCAAGAUCUCUGCAGCUGCGCCCUCUCUGCUGUGCUGGGCUCACAGUGAGAGAGGGGCUGUGACUUGGCCACGGAAAGCUGUCUACUUGGGCAGGUGGGGAGGGUAUCACUCCCAAUGGGCCGUAGAACAAGGAGAAGCUACCUGUGAGUAGGGGCAAGGGCACCUUCCAGGGAAGUUCAGAUGGCUCAUGGUGGAGUGCUGGCCUUGUCUGGACACGAGACUCUGGGGGAGCCUCCAUCUAUCCCUUAUUCUAGGAGUAAGGUGCGUAUCCAUCAUGAGAGAGUGCAGGAGACCAACUUACUGGAGGAAUUCUGUACAGUUUAAGAGAAACGAUUAUUUAUUGGGGAACUAUUCUCUCCUCCAGCUCUUUUAUGGGAUCUGUUAAAAGUAAAG